GAUGAACGCUAGCGGCAGGCUUAACACAUGCAAGUCGAGGGGUAUAACACUUCGGUGUUAGAGACCGGCGCACGGGUGCGUAACGCGUAUGUAAUCUACCUUUUACAGAGGGAUAGCCCAGAGAAAUUUGGAUUAAUACCUCAUGGUAUUAUGGAUAGGCAUCUAUUUAUAAUUAAAGAUUUAUCGGUAAAAGAUGAGCAUGCGUCCCAUUAGCUAGUUGGUAUGGUAACGGCAUACCAAGGCGACGCUGGGUAGGGGUCCUGAGAGGGGGAUCCCCCACACUGGUACUGAGACACGGACCAGACUCCUACGGGAGGCAGCAGUGAGGAAUAUUGGACAAUGGGCGCAAGCCUGAUCCAGCCAUGCCGCGUGCAGGAUGACUGCCCUAUGGGUUGUAAACUGCUUUUGUACAGGAAGAAACCCUUCUACGAGUAGAAGAUUGACGGUACUGUAAGAAUAAGGAUCGGCUAACUCCGUGCCAGCCGCCGCAGUAA
RNAcentral lists this ribosomal RNA (494 nucleotides) under uncultured bacterium. RNAcentral's name for it is "partial 16S ribosomal RNA". It matches the Rfam family "Bacterial small subunit ribosomal RNA", at positions 28 to 523 of the family's 1533-position model. The record is from RNAcentral.